UGUUACUGAACGUGGAUGCUGUGCCCAUGCAGUGGAUGCAUUUUCCCACAAUGUGCAUGCAGUAUGUUUUGACGCAGCAUGCAGUGUCCCUGAAUGCGGAUACUGUGAAAAUGCAGUGGAUGCAGUGAUCAUGCAGUGAUUGCAGUGCACCUGCAUUUCCACAUCAGCUGGAAGCUGUGUCCCUGCAGGGGUUGCAGUGACGCCUUCUGUGUCCCUGAAGGUGAAUGCAGUACCCAUGCAGUGGAUGCAGUGUACCUAAAGGUUAAUGCAGUAUGUUGUGACGGAGGAUGCAGUGCCACUUCAGCUGGAAGCUGUGUCCCUGCAGCGGUUGCAGUGCCGCCUUCUCUGUCACUGAAGUUGAAUGCAGUGCCCAUGCAGUGGAGGCAGUGUCCCACAAUGUGCAUGCAGUAUGUUGUGACUGAGGAUGCACUGCCCAUGAAGGUGGAUGCAGUGAUCCUGCAGUGGUUGCAGUGCCCCCUGCAGUUUACCUGAAUGUGGAUGCAGUGCUCAUGCAGUGGAUGCAGUGUCCCUCAAGGUGGAUGACUUAUGAUGUGUUGGAGGAUUCAGUGACCAUGAAGGAGGAUGCAGUGAUCCUGCAGUGAUGGCAGUGUGCCUGCAGUGCCACUUCAGCUGGAUGCAGUGUUGCUGCAGUGGUUGCAGUGCCCCCUGCAUUGUCCGGGAAUGUGGGUGCAGUGCCCAGGCACUGGAUGCAGUGUCCCAGAAGGUGGAUGCAGUAUGUUAUGAUGGAUGAUGCAGUUCUCAUGAAGGUGGAUGCAGUGUCCCUGCAGUGCUUGCAGUGCCCCCCACAUUGUCCGGGAAUGUGGAUGCAGUAGUCAUGCAGUGGAUGCAGUGUCCCACAAGGUGGAUGCAGUAUGUUGUGAUGGAGGAUGCAGGGCCCAUGAAGGAGGAUG
This 911-nucleotide long non-coding RNA is filed under the name Equus caballus (horse). RNAcentral's name for it is "lncRNA (ENSECAG00000058695.1)". The record is from RNAcentral. Lineage: Eukaryota; Metazoa; Chordata; Mammalia; Perissodactyla; Equidae.